UACGUAGGGUGCAAGCGUUGUCCGGAAUUAUUGGGCGUAAAGAGCUCGUAGGCGGUUUGUUGCGUCGGCUGUGAAAUCCCGAGGCUCAACCUCGGGUCUGCAGUCGAUACGAGCAAACUAGAGUGUUGCAGGGGAGACUGGAAUUCCUGGUGUAGCGGUGAAAUGCGCAGAUAUCAGGAGGAACACCAAUUGCGAAGGCAGCUCGCUGGGACGUAACUGACGCUGAGACGCGAAAGCGUGGGGAGCAAACAGG
RNAcentral lists this ribosomal RNA (253 nucleotides) under uncultured bacterium. RNAcentral describes it as "partial 16S ribosomal RNA". It matches the Rfam family "Bacterial small subunit ribosomal RNA", at positions 524 to 776 of the family's 1533-position model. The record is from RNAcentral.